RNAcentral lists this ribosomal RNA (119 nucleotides) under Pteropus alecto (black flying fox). The record is from RNAcentral. Lineage: Eukaryota; Metazoa; Chordata; Mammalia; Chiroptera; Pteropodidae.
CUGAACGUCCAUGCCACCCUGAACAUCCCCGAUCUCGUCUGAUCUCGGAAGGUAAGCAGGGUCAGACCUGGUUAGUAUUUGGAUGGGAGGUCACCUAGGAAUAUCAGGUGCCGUAGGAG